CGCGUAGGUGGUUUGGUAAGCGAGAUGUGAAAGCCCCGGGCUUAACCUGGGAACGGCAUUUCGAACUGUCAGACUAGAGUGUGGUAGAGGGUAGUGGAAUUUCCUGUGUAGCGGUGAAAUGCGUAGAUAUAGGAAGGAACACCAGUGGCGAAGGCGGCUACCUGGACCAACACUGACACUGAGGUGCGAAAGCGUGAGGAGCAAACAGGAUUAGAUACCCUGGUAGUCC
RNAcentral lists this ribosomal RNA (229 nucleotides) under uncultured bacterium. RNAcentral's name for it is "partial 16S ribosomal RNA". It matches the Rfam family "Bacterial small subunit ribosomal RNA", at positions 568 to 796 of the family's 1533-position model. The record is from RNAcentral.